CAUCAGCAAUCUCAUCGUCGUCGUCAUCAACAUCAUCAUCGUCUUCGUCUCCAUCUUUCACAUCCUCAACAACAACAUCGUUCUCCUUCUGCUCCAUAACACAAACCAAAUCAAAAUCGAACAAAAAUCGAUUCUCUUAAAAAACAAAUAGAGAAGA
This 157-nucleotide small RNA is filed under the name Arabidopsis thaliana (thale cress). RNAcentral describes it as "ATSL213700". The record is from RNAcentral. Lineage: Eukaryota; Viridiplantae; Streptophyta; Magnoliopsida; Brassicales; Brassicaceae.